Molecule: ribosomal RNA, 863 nt
Filed under: Escherichia coli
Lineage: Bacteria; Pseudomonadati; Pseudomonadota; Gammaproteobacteria; Enterobacterales; Enterobacteriaceae
Description: bacterial LSU rRNA
Rfam family: Bacterial large subunit ribosomal RNA
Source: RNAcentral
UGUGGCUGGGGGUGAAAGGCCAAUCAAACCGGGAGAUAGCUGGUUCUCCCCGAAAGCUAUUUAGGUAGCGCCUCGUGAAUUCAUCUCCGGGGGUAGAGCACUGUUUCGGCAAGGGGGUCAUCCCGACUUACCAACCCGAUGCAAACUGCGAAUACCGGAGAAUGUUAUCACGGGAGACACACGGCGGGUGCUAACGUCCGUCGUGAAGAGGGAAACAACCCAGACCGCCAGCUAAGGUCCCAAAGUCAUGGUUAAGUGGGAAACGAUGUGGGAAGGCCCAGACAGCCAGGAUGUUGGCGUAGAAGCAGCCAUCAUUUAAAGAAAGCGUAAUAGCUCACUGGUCGAGUCGGCCUGCGCGGAAGAUGUAACGGGGCUAAACCAUGCACCGAAGCUGCGGCAGCGACACUAUGUGUUGUUGGGUAGGGGAGCGUUCUGUAAGCCUGUGAAGGUGUGCUGUGAGGCAUGCUGGAGGUAUCAGAAGUGCGAAUGCUGACAUAAGUAACGAUAAAGCGGGUGAAAAGCCCGCUCGCCGGAAGACCAAGGGUUCCUGUCCAACGUUAAUCGGGGCAGGGUGAGUCGACCCCUAAGGCGAGGCCGAAAGGCGUAGUCGAUGGGAAACAGGUUAAUAUUCCUGUACUUGGUGUUACUGCGAAGGGGGGACGGAGAAGGCUAUGUUGGCCGGGCGACGGUUGUCCCGGUUUAAGCGUGUAGGCUGGUUUUCCAGGCAAAUCCGGAAAAUCAAGGCUGAGGCGUGAUGACGAGGCACUACGGUGCUGAAGCAACAAAUGCCCUGCUUCCAGGAAAAGCCUCUAAGCAUCAGGUAACAUCAAAUCGUACCCCAAACCGACACAGGUGGUCAGGUA